AGUCAAGAACAAUCACACCCACUUCAUUAAAAAUCCCGAUUCCAGUACAACACUUCGACUAUUCAGCAACGAUUGCCUCAGUCUUCCCAAAACCCUAUGAAGAAAAAAAACCUAAUCUCUGUCUUUUUUUUCCGCCCCAAAGCAUGAAGCUAGCUCUCCGAUCCUUCUCCAAAAACUUAUUCUCUCCCCUUUCAUUUCUUAACCUAUCUUCCCCUUUAACCCUAAUUCUCCCC
RNAcentral lists this long non-coding RNA (233 nucleotides) under Physcomitrium patens. Its description in RNAcentral is "long non-coding RNA (PPAT_LNC005520)". Lineage: Eukaryota; Viridiplantae; Streptophyta; Bryopsida; Funariales; Funariaceae. The record is from RNAcentral.